AGAAAACUGUCCCAAACCCCCUGCCCGUCGUCCGGGGCCAGGGCCGAAGAGGCCUGCCAGAAACUGAAGCUGCACCGGGUGGUCCUGCUGUGGUCCCGGAGGCUGGCCCAGCACCGGCAGGCAGACUCUUUCUCCCAGAAAAGGAGGCUGCGGAUUCUUCAGAACGCCCUGCAGCAGUGGCGGUGGAAGGCCCAGGCAGCAGGGUCAUGCCCUGCCAGCUCCACUGACUGCCCCCUGGAGCCCUUUGCUGGCUCUCAGGACUCGGAGGAGCAGCCCCCCUCCUCAGGAUGCUCCGGCAGUGCUCCAAGUGCCCCCAGAAGCUCAUCAGAGGGGGUCCACAGCCCGACUGAUUGCAGCAGCUCCUUCCUGAGCCCAGCAGGGGAUGAGGUGCUGCCCCUGCGCUUGAGGUCACUUUCUUUGGAGGCCCCGGACUCCUGGAGGAUCUCCUUCCCUCUUGAGUGAGCGCUGAGACCGACAUCUGAGCCAAUUUUUGUCCUGGUCUCAUCCCCAGCCCUUAGCACAGUGCCCGGCAUUCAGUAGGUGCUUAAUAAGUGCUUUAAUCAUGUCAUGACUUGGCCUUAGGGUGCUGGUACCUCUCAGUUUGCAGGUGCGAAGGGUGGAGGUAAUUUUGUUCUCUACCUGCCUCCUACCCCCCACUCAAGCUCCUGUGAGCCCCUCCUUUGCCUGGUCCUCUGGGUGACCAUUGAGAGACGGAUCAGGGAGUAGCCGAGGGACCCCACCCCCACCCCCUGCUCAGGUGGGCUGCCCAUGGGCAAAGCCUUCCUUCCUCUGAAAAAUGGUGGCAGGAAUUCAAUUUAAAAACAAACCCUGGCUACCUCCCAGAAUGGGUUUCCAUCAUCCCCAAGGAAGGGGGCUCUUCACUCUUUUGCUCGCUGUCAGGGCGGUCCCCCAUCCUUGCCCCUGGGCAGCCAGUGGCUGGGUAGCUUUGCUGCCUUACUCUUUCCUAGGCAAAUGUGGCCCCAGCUCUGUAACCAGCAGGAUCCUGGACCCAGGAGACAGCUGUUGGCCCGCCUUCCUCCAGGAGAAGAAACGGGCCCCCUGGGAAAAGCUGUUCAGGUUCCCAGAGACCCCAGCCACUUGGAUGCCCCCCAGCAAGAGAUAAGGUGGCAGCAGGGGGCUCAAGAAGCCCCAGAACCCAAGCCGCAUUGGCAGGUCACACUCCAGAUCUGGAUCCUCACUGACCCAGUUGAGUUGACCGACCCUCAGGGACAGGACUGGAGGACAGCUGGGAAUCAGAUCCCCCGCUCCAGGCAGCAGGGUCUCCUGAGCUCUCCCUGGGCCCACCAGGAUGCAGCACUGCCCACAGGGAUGCCGAGGCAUCAGCUGACCAAGGACAAGGAGGGCACCUUUGUGGGCACCAGACCCAGUGUCCUGCACCCCCAGAGACUGGCCUUCAGAGGAAACCACGUCCUGGGUGCAGAUCCCGACACUCAACGCCAGCAGGCCGGCAACUACUGGACGAGGGCCACAGCCUUGGCUCCAGACAAGAGGAAAUCCCACAGCCACAUUGGACAGAGGAAGAUGUUAGCAAUUCUGGGUGGCCCAAAGCAGAACUUUCUGCUGCCUUCUUUCCCGUGUUUGCCUCUCCACUGUAGACGGACCAGCCAGGAGAAGCUGGGGAAGGCUCCUAGAGAACCAGCAGGCAGCGCCCGGUCGGUCCGGAUCCCCAGGAGCAGAGGACGCCCGAGAGCAGUGGUGCUGGAGGAAACAUGGCUAGAGAGAAAGUACCUCCAGAGGUGGAGACACAAGGUAUUGCUUCAAAGGUUCCAUGGCCAGCAAAGGAGGAGGAGGCUGGCGGAAGUCUGGCAAUGCUGGAUAGGAGCUCAGGGAUCAGAGCAGCUGGCUCGGACAUUGGUUAGGCAGCGGCGGCUGGAAUGGGGCUGGAGGAUGUGGCGCAGGCGGUGGCUGCAGCUUCAGGCGGCUCUGUGUUUGCGAGAAGACCACAGAGUCCUCUCUCAGGCCUUUGGAAGAUGGUACCAGCGCUGGGCAGCCCGGGUGCCCGGGAAAGGGAGCACGGGCCAGGGAUCAGGGGCCAGCGUCGUAUCCCAUUAGUCACAGCCCGUAGGAGUGGGGGGCAGGACCUGCUCAGCCGUCUCUGUCAGGGGAAGAAGUCCAGCCCUGCCCCCAUCCCAUUCUACCCACCAGGGCCGACAAAGAAAGUCCAGCAAACUCAUCUGAUAAAGUUUUAAUGAAAAAUAGCCUCGGGGCAGAAACCCUGCCUUUGACAGACAAUAAAGUACUAUUCCUUUCCCAGUCUUCUUCUAGGUUGAAUCUGUGCCCUGCAUUGGAGGGCCCAGCCUACUCUGGGCCAGAUUUGGAGCAAUAUAUUUCAGUUUAUAGGUGUGACCUUUAACCGGAGGGGACCAGAAACUUGCCAUGUGAUAGAAAAAACCCAAAACUUGGGGAUCCAGAACAUAACUACCUUCAAAUGCUUUUAUGGAGAGAAGGAAUGCGCCUCAGAGGGGGGGAGAGGAGAGAAGAGCUGGCUCCAGGCAGAUUUAAACUCGCCCCAAAGGCUGGGCGACUGCAGCCGAGACAGAGGCUUCCAAGUGGCCUGGGCUUGUAAGCAGAACUUGGGAUGCUCUAAGGGGAUCCUGUGUAGGCCAUUGGUCUAAAACGACCACCAAAGUCCCCCCGCUGUGAUCUGGGGAGCUCCCACCUCCAGGGUCGGUGCUGGCUGGAACUGGGGGGUCACCCUUCCCAGGUUCUGCUUUGCUGCAAGUUUCCUUCUGUCCACCCCCCUUUCCUCCCUAGCUAGGGUUUCUUUCUGCUGACCUAGCACAGGCUCUAAGACAGCUGAUCUCAGCUCUAGAAGGGGAGGGGGUGGAAUGGGAGUGGGGAGGAUGGAGAGAGGCCCUUAACCCUGUAGCUGCCAGAUUGCACGAUUGACCCAAGUGUCAUGGAAAGUGCUAGUUGCUGAUAUUCAUUCACACACGAGACAAACGAGGAGAGGAAGGAGCGGGUCAGACCUGAGCAUAGUAGAUAAAGAGGUAUAAAAAAAGCAGCAGAUAUCAGCCAGGGUCGGUCAAAAGGCCCCCUGAGAGAAUGCUGGCGGGCCCAGCAGGGAAGGAAAUGAGGGGCCCCAAAGCUUCCCAGCCACGUGACCGGCUCCUUUUGGUCUAGCACUGACCCCUUUGCCCUCCAGGGUCAUAGCUCUUCUCCUCCUCUACCUUCUAAGACCCCUGAAGAGGAAAAAGGGCCCCUAUAAAUGCUUUGGAGUAGCUUGAAACCCCAUAAGGCGUUUUGUUUCAGAAGGGGAGUCUGGAAACAAAGCAGCUUAUGAGGUUAGUGUAGUGCAGAGAGCCAGUCCUGGAAUCCAGAAGGCGAGAGGGAGAGUCCACCUUGGGAGUUUCCGGCCAGUCCAGAAAGUAAAAAUGCCAGUAAAUAUGGCAGCCUCGAACAAGGCUCCAGGGGAAGGGAAGCAUUGCUCCAUGGGAGGCAGAAGAGUUCCUGCUGAGCUCUGCUUUCACAGAUGGGGAAACCGAGGCAAAGCCCAGCAUCCCUGGGAGGAGGCGGGGCAUUUCCAGGCACGUCUGGGACUGACCCUGCUUGUGGCCAGUUCUUUGGAAGGCCAGCACUCCAGCCCUGUGUUCAGGCUCACUUCCCCUCCCCAGGAGAACUGAGCCACUGGCUCUCCACGGCCUGGAGCAGGGAUGUUGCAGGACGGAGUCACUCCCCAACAAAAGGGGGAAAUAGUAUACGUAGAGUGUGGGGGAAAUCCCACAGGCCUUGAUAGUGCGGAACAGACUCAGGGCAAAUCCAAGCACAGAGGGGUGACCAGUCAGCUGCCCCCCCUGGGGGAGUGAUGGGAGCCAGGGCGAGGGUGAUGGGAUGGGAUGGAGAAGAGAACACUGGAGAAUCCUCGAAGGAGGGGAGUGGGGGGAGAGGAGCCUGGGGAGCUCAGGAGUCAGGCUGAGGAGGGCAAUGGGGACGAUUCCCUGAGCUUCCCCGUCUCUCACUGAGGGUCAGGCCGGCUGAGGAGCUCAAAGGUGUCUUCUAGGACCUGCCACAAACAGUUGUCCAAGGGGAACUCGUUAUCCACUAGGUUGACCAGGUGAUAGUUGUCGUGGAUAUACUGGAUGAUCAUCCGCGAGGGGGAUUCCUCUUCAUACAGUUUCCCCCAUUGCUCAAUCCACAGGGCAAAGGCCUCAUCCUAGACACACAGAGGCAAGGUCAGUGGGAGCCGGGCUGGGGCUGGACAAGGGGCAGGGCCGGAGCCCGACAUCCCUCCUCUUCUUCAUUGCCCCUUCCCUCCCAUCCCCCACUUGGCAAGAUGGCUGAGAGCCCAGAGAGCCUCAGCUAAGGAGUAAACUCCCCUUCUCAAAAUGCCACUUGAGCAGAAAGGGAGGCCCUGGCAGCCCAAGGAACGUGGCGAUAAAUGUGGAAAUAUGGCUAGAAGAAUUGCACGUUUAACAUGAUGUCUGGGAUAGGGGGAGCCGGGGAGGGAGGGAGAAACAUUUGGAACACAAGAUUUUGCAAGGGUGGAUGGGUGUUGAAAACUAUCUUUGCCUUGCAUGUAUUUGGGAAAAUAAAAAGCCAUUGUUUAAAAACAAAACAAAACAAAACAAAACAAAACAAAAAAAAAAAAAACCAAAAAAAAAAAAAAAAACAGGAACCGGACUGGCUGGGAAGGUAGGUCAGUUUAAAGUGACUGCAGACAAGUUUUCCCAGCUUCUCAGGUCACCCUCUCCCCAAGCGGAGUCAGAGCUCCUCACCUCGGAUGUCCGGUCUGCCAGUUUUGCAGAGGGCGGCCAGCGAUUGUGAGUGCAAA
Sarcophilus harrisii (Tasmanian devil) is the source of this 4792-nucleotide long non-coding RNA. The record is from Ensembl. Lineage: Eukaryota; Metazoa; Chordata; Mammalia; Dasyuromorphia; Dasyuridae.